CCCUUAGAUGUCCUGGGCUGCACGCGCGCUACACUGAUGUGUCCAGUAAGCACCUAACCUCUUCCGAAAGGAACGGGUAACCUUUGCAAAGCACAUCGUGAUGGGGAUAGAUUAUUGCAAUUAUUAGUCUUGAACGAGGAAUUCCUAGUAAGCACAAGUCAUCAGCUUGUGUUGAUUACGUCCCUGCCCUUUGUACACACCGCCCGUCGCUCCUACUGAUUGAAUGUUCCGGUGAGCUCUUCGGACUGCGCGGUCUGCAGUUUCUGCGUUCCGUGCGGAAAGUUGCGCAAACCUUAACAUUUAGAGGAAGGAGAAGUCGUAACA
RNAcentral lists this ribosomal RNA (324 nucleotides) under uncultured eukaryote. Its description in RNAcentral is "partial 18S ribosomal RNA". It matches the Rfam family "Eukaryotic small subunit ribosomal RNA", at positions 1470 to 1796 of the family's 1831-position model. The record is from RNAcentral.